GCAUAUCAAUAAGCGGAGGAAAAAGAAACCAACAGGGAUUGCCUCAGUAACGGCGAGUGAAGCGGCAAAAGCUCAAAUUUUAAAGCUGGCAUCUCCGGUGUCCGCGUUGUAAUUUUGUGAGGCAUCUCCGGGUGGGGCGCCGGCCUAAGUUCCUUGGAACAGGACGUCAUAGAGGGUGAGAAUCCCGUGCUUGGCUGGCUGUCCCCGUCCAUGUGAGGUGUCUUCGACGAGUCGAGUUGUUUGGGAAUGCAGCUCAAAAUGGGUGGUAAAUUUCAUCUAAAGCUAAAUAUUGGUGGGAGACCGAUAGCGCACAAGUAGAGUGAUCGAAAGAUGAAAAGCACUUUGAAAAUAGAGUUAAAAAGUACGUGAAAUUGUUGAAAGGGAAGCGCUUGAGACCAGACUUCGGUGGGGAGUGAUCAGCCGUCCUUCUGGGCGGUGCACUUGCCCCCCUCCGGGCCAGCAUCGGUUGGGACGGCGGGAUAAAGGUCCCGGGAAUGUGGCUCCUCUCGGGGAGUGUUAUAGCCCGGGUGAAUGCCGCCAGCCCCGACCGAGGACCGCGCCUUCGGGCUAGGAUGCUUGGCAUAAUGGUCUUCAGCGACCCGUCUUGAAACACGGACCAAGGAGUCUAACAUCUAUGCGAGUGUUUGGGUGUCAAACCCUUGCGCGAAAUGAAAGUGAACGGAGGUGGGAACCCGCAAGGGCGCACCAUCGACCGGUCCCGAAGUCUUCUGAAGGAUCUGAGUAGGAGCAUAGCUGUUGGGACCCGAAAGAUGGUGAACUAUGCCUGAAUAGGGUGAAGCCAGAGGAAACUCUGGUGGAGGCUCGCAGCGGUUCUGACGUGCAAAUCGAUCGUCAAAUUUGGGUAUAGGGGCGAAAGACUAAUCGAACCAUCUAGUAGCUGGGUUCCUGCGAG
Molecule: ribosomal RNA, 913 nt
Filed under: Morchella esculenta
Lineage: Eukaryota; Fungi; Ascomycota; Pezizomycetes; Pezizales; Morchellaceae
Description: LSU rRNA
Rfam family: Eukaryotic large subunit ribosomal RNA
Source: RNAcentral